CUUUCUCGAGAUUUCGAAAAUCGAAAACUCCGUACCCACCCAUCAAGCGAACCGGCAAUCGCCGACUUUCACCUUUUGCGUCCAUGUUUUUUCCUCACCGGUAAGCCAUAGAUACUCUCAAUUCUCUUUUCUCUCGUAAUUUGGUUGAGAGAAUUAGGGAUAAUCGAUGCAUCGUUGAAAAUUUUGACCUUCUAGGGUUUAUCCGCUUCGUCUUGUCUUUUAUUUUCUAUUGUAAUCUGAUCAUUUUCGAGUUACUCAUCUCGAAAAUCGAGGAUCCGAUACUUUUAUUUGGUUCGGAUGUUCUGAUUGCUUGUCAUAGGAUGAUUUCGUAUUGAUUAACUACUGGGUUUUGCUUUUCCUUGGAAUUGGGGCCGUGCUUCUUGUUUACGAAGGUUCAGGGUUUAUAAGCGAACAACUCAGAAGGAAAUUCUUGAAUUGGAAAUUGGGUUUCCGACUAUUUGAGGUUUAUUCAUGGCUGCUGGGAGGAAUGGGGGUUAUAAUGAUAAUGGGUUUAGGAAGAGGGAUUCUGAAUUUGAGGUGAUGAGGCGAGAAUUUGGUAAUUCUAAAGAUUAUGAGUCAUCUAGGAAUGAUAGCCGUAAUGACGAAAGGGUUCGAGUACAGGAGGCAAGAGAUAGAGUUAGGGUAAGACAAAAGGAAACUAAGGAGAGGGAAGCUGUAAAUGGUGGCUAUUGGCCCUCUUCGAGUAGAAGCGAUUCUGAUGGCACUGGUGGCAGAGGUAGUCGUGGUCCCAGGCGAUGUGGGUUUUCUCUUAGGGUAAUAGAUAAGGAACCUGGUGAGUUGUCUAGUGAAAGCGAAUCAGAAGAUGCCAUGGAGUAUGAGUCGGUGGUUAGAAAUAGUGAGGCUGUGAAAGCAAUGGAUAAUGAUGCUCAGUCUCUUGUGGGAAAGAAAAGGAAGUUUUCACCUAUAGUAUGGGAUAUAGAUGAUAAGGAAUUAAGCACCGCAUCGAAAAGUAGGAAGUCAUCAGCAGUCAUAGCCUUUCCUCCACCAAUAGUGCCUAAAGCUCAUCGCAGUUCACCUAACAAGAUAUCGGGUGGGACCGUACUGACUUCUUCUGUUAGAGAAAGCAAAAAGGAUAAAUCACAAUCUCCUUCGCCAGUUGCUGCUGCUGCUGUUGAAAUUGUUGGAUACUCUGCUUUGGAGUCUCCAGUCGAUUUGGAUUUGUCUCCACCAAAAGAGCAGGUUAACAAUCAAGAUACUGGGAAACUAGAAGAUUAUGUACCAACCCGACAUAUAUCUUCCUCUAGAUGGGCAUCUGGUGGUAGUUCUCCUGGUGAUGAGGGUGAAAUUUUUGAAGAUGAGAAAAUGCCUAAAACGAGGAAAAAGUUGCCUGUUUCAGAAACUGCUCAUGAAAGAUCUCAGAAUAAGUCAACAACACCAGAGCUUGAGGAGCUUAACGGGGAAGGCUCAGAGGGAACUAGAGCCAGAUCAUCUGAAUCUGAUGAACGAGCUGCCCGUUCCAGGUCUGGAAGUGGGUAUGAUUACCCAGGUAAUUAUUCAGAGAAGAAUGACUACAUGGAGAUUGACGUUGAAUGUGAUAGAAAUGACAGUAGUGUUAGGGAGUCCAAUACAGAUUCUGAGAAUGAAAAUGAUUCACCUGGAAUGCCAGAACCUCCAGUUUCUCCUUUGAGAAGUGUAAACAUGCUUCAGGGAUGUAGGAGUGUAGAUGAAUUUGAGAGACUAAAUAAGAUAGAUGAAGGUACUUAUGGCGUUGUGUAUAGAGCUAGGAACAAGAAGACGGGGGAAAUUGUGGCAUUGAAGAAGGUAAAGAUGGAGAAAGAAAGAGAAGGUUUUCCUCUGACCUCUCUGAGGGAAAUAAACAUUCUUCUUUCGUUUCAUCACCCAUCGGUUGUAGAUGUUAAAGAAGUAGUUAUAGGCAGUAGCCUUGAUAGUAUCUUUAUGGUGAUGGAAUACAUGGAACACGAUCUGAAAGGGCUGAUGGAAACAAUAAAACAACCAUUCGGCCAAAGUGAAGUUAAAUGCUUGAUGCUGCAGCUACUGGAGGGUGUCAAGUAUCUUCAUGAUAACUGGGUUCUCCAUCGAGAUUUGAAGACAUCUAAUCUUCUUUUAAAUAACCAAGGUGAAUUGAAGAUUUGUGAUUUUGGGUUGGCUCGUCAUUAUGGAAUCCCGUUAAAACCAUAUACGCAUUUGGUGGUUACUCUUUGGUACAGGGCACCAGAACUUCUUUUGGGUGCAAGACAAUAUUCCACCGCAAUUGACAUGUGGUCUCUGGGUUGUAUCAUGGCUGAAUUACUAUCGAAAGAAGCACUUUUCAGUGGGAAAACUGAAUUUGAUCAACUUGACAAGAUUUUCAGAACACUUGGCACACCAAAUGAGACAAUAUGGCCUGGUUUUUCAAAGUUGCCUGGUGUCAAGGUCAACUUUGUCAAGCAUCAGUAUAAUCUAUUGCGCAAAAAGUUCCCAGCCACAUCAUUCACGGGUACACCUGUUCUCUCUGAUGCUGGAUUUGACUUGCUGAAUAAACUUCUUACUUAUGAUCCUGAGAAGCGUAUAACAGCUGGAGAUGCUGUUAACCAUGAGUGGUUUCGCGAAGUUCCCCUUCCCAAGACUAAAGCUUUCAUGCCCACUUUCCCUGCCCAACAUGCUCAAGACAGGCGAAUGAGAAGAGUGCUGAAGAGUCCAGAUCCUUUGCAAGAGCAACGUAAGGAGGAGUGGCAACAAGGGGAAUUGGGGACUCGUAGUUUGUUUGGCUAAGAAAGUUCAUCCAUCAGUGCCAUUUAAUCUUCAUGUUUUAGAUUUUUCACGUUAUUGUUAGAGGGACAUUAUUGAGGCACUGAUGAUGAUUUGUCUGGAGAUAUUGUAUGCCUCUACCUGUGAGCCAGAUGCUUUGCAGGUUAAUCUGAUUUCCAGCUUUUUCAUCAUAUGAAAAUGCAUACGACACUGCUUGCAUUGCAAGUUGUGGCAUAUCAGCCUCGUUUUCUUUUAGCAAUCAGGUUCAGCUGAGACUUGUGCAACAUAUUUUGUUGGAACAAUGAUGUAAUCCUUCUUUUUAUAGCUGGUUUUGAAUACUAAAAAAUAUGGCUUCUUCCUACUGUGAGUCCCAUCUUUUUUAAUAUUCACAUUGUGUUUGAAAGAGAUGGUUGGUGUGGAGUGGGGAGGACAUUCUUUGCCUUCCAUUGAUGAAGAAAUUGACAGUAACCAUUAUACAUCAAAGGUGAUCCAAGUUAUAAUCAGGUCUGGAAUCCUUUUAUGACUAGCUUCAGUUUCAAAGCAAGCAGGUAGAGGAGGUUGAUUGCCUGCAUAUUCUGGAUUUUAUCCAACUUUCCAAUUAGUUUGUCCCUUGUGGAGAACUCUAAUUGAUAACCCUGUUAGUUGCUGCUGUCAAAGUUGGACAUAAAUUGCACUAAAGUUGAGGGAUUAAAUCUCAAGGUUGAAGAUUGUUGAGGGCUGGAACUAUAAAUUAGACCUUUUUACAACCUUACGGCUAGGAUAGGGUUUUCUUACAUACGUUAUCCUCUCCCCUUAUAUUCAUUUAUCAUCCAGUUAAUUGCACCCAAUAUUCCCAAACUAUGU
This is an RNA transcript of Hibiscus syriacus, 3552 nucleotides long. It is a transcript of the gene named cyclin-dependent kinase G-2-like, with no coding region annotated. NCBI's taxonomy places the organism in Eukaryota, Viridiplantae, Streptophyta, Magnoliopsida, Malvales, Malvaceae. The transcript is spliced from 9 exons. The record is from RefSeq and is a predicted model, not a curated record.